This 1320-nucleotide ribosomal RNA is filed under the name uncultured bacterium. Its description in RNAcentral is "bacterial SSU rRNA". It matches the Rfam family "Bacterial small subunit ribosomal RNA", at positions 8 to 1375 of the family's 1533-position model. The record is from RNAcentral.
AGAGUUUGAUCAUGGCUCAGAACGUACGCUGGCGGCACGCCAAACAUAUGCAAGUCGAACGAAGUAGCAAUACUUAGUGGCAGACGGGUGAGUAACAUGUAGGUAUCUUCCCUUUGGCCUGGAAUAACACGAGGAAACUUGUGCUAAUACUGGAUAAGUCUUUACGGAGAAAGCUUUAUGCACCAUUGGAUGAGCCUGCACUUGAUUAGUUUGUUGGUGGGGUAAAGGCCUACCAAGACUGUGAUCAAUAGCUGAUUUGAGAGGAUGAUCAGCCACAUUGGGACUGAGACACGGCCCAAACUCCUACGGGAGGCAGCAGUGGGGAAUCUUGCACAAUGGAGGAAACUCUGAUGCAGCGAUGCCGCGUGAGUGAAGAAGGCCUUUGGGUUGUAAAGCUCUUUCGUCGGGGAAGAAAAUGACUGUACCCGAAUAAGAAGGUCCGGCUAACUUCGUGCCAGCAGCCGCGGUAAUACGAAGGGACCUAGCGUAGUUCGGAAUUACUGGGCUUAAAGAGUUCGUAGGUGGUUGAAAAAGUUGGUGGUGAAAUCCCAGAGCUUAACUCUGGAACUGCCAUCAAAACUUUUCAGCUAGAGUUUGAUAGAGGAAAGCAGAAUUUCUAGUGUAGAGGUGAAAUUCGUAGAUAUUAGAAAGAAUACCAAUUGCGAAGGCAGCUUUCUGGAUCAUUACUGACACUGAGGAACGAUAGCAUGGGUAGCGAAGAGGAUUAGAUACCCUCGUAGUCCAUGCCGUAAACGAUGUGUGUUAGACGUUGGAAAUUUAUUUUCAGUGUCGCAGCGAAAGCGAUAAACACACCGCCUGGGGAGUACGACCGCAAGGUUAAAACUCAAAUGAAUUGACGGGGACCCGCACAAGUAGUGGAGCAUGUGGUUUAAUUCGAAGAUACGCGCAGAACCUUACCAACACUUGACAUGUUCGUCGCGACUUUAAGAGAUUAAAGUUUUCGGUUCGGCCGGACGAAACACAGGUGCUGCAUGGCUGUCGUCAGCUCGUGUCGUGAGAUGUUGGGUUAAGUCCCGCAACGAGCGCAACCCUCACUUUUAGUUGCCAUCAUUUAGUUGGGCACUCUGAAAGAACUGCCAGUGAUAAGCUGGAGGAAGGUGGGGAUGACGUCAAGUCCUCAUGGCCCUUACGUGUUGGGCUACACACGUGCUACAAUGGUAUUUACAACAGGAAGCAAAACGGCGACGUUAAGCAAAUCCUCAAAAAAUACCUCAGUUCGGAUUGCACUCUGCAACUCGAGUGCAUGAAGCUGGAAUUACUAGUAAUCGUGGAUCAGCGUGCCACGGUGAAUGCGUUCCC